CCUACGGGAGGCAGCAGUGGGGAAUUUUGGACAAUGGGCGCAAGCCUGAUCCAGCAAUGCCGCGUGCAGGAUGAAGGCCUUCGGGUUGUAAACUGCUUUUGUACGGAGCGAAAAGGUCUUUCCUAAUACGAAGGGCCCAUGACGGUACCGUAAGAAUAAGCACCGGCUAACUACGUGCCAGCAGCCGCGGUAAUACGUAGGGUGCGAGCGUUAAUCGGAAUUACUGGGCGUAAAGCGUGCGCAGGCGGUUAUAUAAGACAAAUGUGAAAUCCCCGGGCUCAACCUGGGACCUGCAUAUGUGACUGUAUAGCUAGAGUACGGUAGAGGGGGAUGGAAUUCCGCGUGUAGCAGUGAAAUGCGUAGAUAUGCGGAGGAACACCGAUGGCGAAGGCAAUCCCCUGGACCUGUACUGACGCUCAUGCACGAAAGCGUGGGGAGCAAACAGGAUUAGAUACCCUGGUAGUCCACGCCCUAAACGAUGUCAACUGGUUGUUGGGUCUUUACUGACUCAGUAACGAAGCUAACGCGUGAAGUUGACCGCCUGGGGGNGGUACGGCCGCGAGUAGAACGUACAANAGAGUUAGUACGGCGUGAGACGUGCCGACGGACGACGACGAGGGAGGUUAGGG
RNAcentral lists this ribosomal RNA (629 nucleotides) under uncultured bacterium. RNAcentral's name for it is "bacterial SSU rRNA". The stretch from base 1 to 542 matches the Rfam family "Bacterial small subunit ribosomal RNA", at positions 338 to 873 of the family's 1533-position model. The record is from RNAcentral.